GGGGCCAUAGGGUAGCCUGGUUAUCCUUGGGGACUGGGGGUCCUCAGACCCGAGUUCAAAUCUCGGUGGCCCCA
This 74-nucleotide transfer RNA is filed under the name Methanobacteriota archaeon. RNAcentral's name for it is "tRNA-Pro". It matches the Rfam family "tRNA". From Rfam's summary of the family: Transfer RNA (tRNA) molecules are approximately 80 nucleotides in length. Their secondary structure includes four short double-helical elements and three loops (D, anti-codon, and T loops). RNAcentral also lists the same sequence under 1 other name. The record is from RNAcentral. Lineage: Archaea; Methanobacteriati; Methanobacteriota.